ACCGGCAGCUCAAGUGGUGGCCAUUAUUAUUGGGCCUAAAGCGUUCGUAGCCGGUUUGAUAAGUCUCUGGUGAAAUCCCGCAGCUUAACUGUGGGACUUGCUGGAGAUACUAUCAGACUUGAGGUCGGGAGAGGGUAGGGGUACUCCCAGGGAAGGGGUGAAAUCCUAUAAUCCUGGGAGGACCACCUGUGGCGAAGGCGCGUAACUGGAACGAUACUGUCGGGGAGUAACGAAAGCCAGGGGCGCGAACCG
This 252-nucleotide ribosomal RNA is filed under the name uncultured prokaryote. RNAcentral's name for it is "partial 16S rRNA". It matches the Rfam family "Archaeal small subunit ribosomal RNA", at positions 475 to 726 of the family's 1478-position model. The record is from RNAcentral.